RNAcentral lists this ribosomal RNA (120 nucleotides) under Streptomyces alanosinicus. RNAcentral's name for it is "partial 16S rRNA". It matches the Rfam family "Bacterial small subunit ribosomal RNA", at positions 162 to 283 of the family's 1533-position model. Lineage: Bacteria; Bacillati; Actinomycetota; Actinomycetes; Kitasatosporales; Streptomycetaceae. The record is from RNAcentral.
UCUAAUACCGGAUAUCACUCCUGCAGGCAUCUGUGGGAGUCGAAAGCUCCGGCGGUGAAGGAUGAGCCCGCGGCCUAUCAGCUUGUUGGUGAGGUAGUGGCUCACCAAGGCGACGACGGG